This 1300-nucleotide ribosomal RNA is filed under the name metagenome. RNAcentral describes it as "bacterial LSU rRNA". It matches the Rfam family "Bacterial large subunit ribosomal RNA", at positions 1636 to 2925 of the family's 2925-position model. The record is from RNAcentral.
ACACGACCGUACCCAAACCGACACUGGUGCGCGAGAUGAGUAUUCUAAGGCGCUUGAGAGAACUCAGGAGAAGGAACUCGGCAAAUUGACACCGUAACUUCGGAAGAAGGUGUGCCUUUAGUAGGUGAAGUCCCUCGCGGAUGGAGCCCAAUGAGGUUGCAAAAAAUCGGUGGCUGCGACUGUUUAUUAAAAACACAGCACUCUGCAAACACGAAAGUGGACGUAUAGGGUGUGACGCCUGCCCGGUGCUGGAAGAUUAAAUGAUGGGGUGCAAGCUCUUGAUUGAAGUCCCAGUAAACGGCGGCCGUAACAAUAACGGUCCUAAGGUAGCGAAAUUCCUUGUCGGGUAAGUUCCGACCUGCACGAAUGGCGUAACGAUGGCCACACUGUCUCCUCCUGAGACUCAGCGAAGUUGAAAUGUUUGUGAUGAUGCAAUCUCCCCGCGGAAAGACGGAAAGACCCCAUGAACCUUUACUGUAGCUUUGUAUUGGACUUUGAACAGAUCUGUGUAGGAUAGGUGGGAGGCUUUGAAGCAGGGUCGCUAGAUCUUGUGGAGCCAACGUUGAAAUACCACCCUGGUGUGUUUGAGGUUCUAACCUAGGCCCGUAAUCCGGGUUGGGGACAGUGCAUGGUAGGCAGUUUGACUGGGGCGGUCUCCUCCCAAAGUGUAACGGAGGAGUUCGAAGGUACGCUAGUUACGGUCGGACAUCGUGACGAUAGUGCAAUGGCAUAAGCGUGCUUAACUGCGAGACUGACAAGUCGAGCAGAUGCGAAAGCAGGACAUAGUGAUCCGGUGGUUCUGUAUGGAAGGGCCAUCGCUCAACGGAUAAAAGGUACUCUGGGGAUAACAGGCUGAUACCGCCCAAGAGUUCAUAUCGACGGCGGUGUUUGGCACCUCGAUGUCGGCUCAUCUCAUCCUGGGGCUGUAGCCGGUCCCAAGGGUAUGGCUGUUCGCCAUUUAAAGAGGUACGUGAGCUGGGUUUAAAACGUCGUGAGACAGUUUGGUCCCUAUCUUCCGUGGGCGCUGCAGAUUUGAGGAAGCCUGCUCCUAGUACGAGAGGACCGGAGUGGACGCACCUCUGGUGUAUCGGUUGUCACGCCAGUGGCAUUGCCGAGUAGCUAUGUGCGGAAGAGAUAACCGCUGAAAGCGUCUAAGCGGGAAACUCGUUUCAAGAUGAGAUCUGCCGGGGCCUUGAGCCCCCUGAGGAGUCGUUCAAGACCAGGACGUUGAUAGGUCGGGUGUGGAAGCGCAGUAAUGCGUUAAGCUAACCGAUACUAAUUGCUCGUGCGGCUUGACCCU